RNAcentral lists this ribosomal RNA (758 nucleotides) under uncultured Alphaproteobacteria bacterium. RNAcentral's name for it is "bacterial SSU rRNA". It matches the Rfam family "Bacterial small subunit ribosomal RNA", at positions 52 to 859 of the family's 1533-position model. Lineage: Bacteria; Pseudomonadati; Pseudomonadota; Alphaproteobacteria. The record is from RNAcentral.
CACAUGCAAGUCGAGCGCCCCGCAAGGGGAGCGGCAGACGGGUGAGUAACGCGUGGGAACGUACCCCCCGGUUCGGAAUAACUCAGGGAAACUUGAGCUAAUACCGGAUACGGCUGAGAGGCGAAAGAUUUAUCGCCGGGGGAUCGGCCCGCGUCCGAUUAGCUAGUUGGUGUGGUAACGGCGCACCAAGGCGACGAUCGGUAGCUGGUCUGAGAGGAUGAUCAGCCACAUUGGGACUGAGACACGGCCCAAACUCCUACGGGAGGCAGCAGUGGGGAAUAUUGGACAAUGGGCGAAAGCCUGAUCCAGCCAUGCCGCGUGAGUGAUGAAGGCCUUAGGGUUGUAAAGCUCUUUCGCCCACGACGAUAAUGACGGUAGUGGGAGAAGAAGCCCCGGCUAACUUCGUGCCAGCAGCCGCGGUAAUACGAAGGGGGCUAGCGUUGUUCGGAAUUACUGGGCGUAAAGCGCGUGUAGGCGGGUCCUUAAGUCAGGGGUGAAAUGCCAAGGCUCAACCUUGGAACUGCCUUUGAUACUGGGGAUCUUGAGUCCGGGAGAGGUGAGUGGAACUGCGAGUGUAGAGGUGAAAUUCGUAGAUAUUCGCAAGAACACCAGUGGCGAAGGCGGCUCACUGGCCCGGAACUGACGCUGAGACGCGAAAGCGUGGGGAGCAAACAGGAUUAGAUACCCUGGUAGUCCACGCUGUAAACGAUGGAUGCUAGCCGUUGGGGAGCUUGCUCUUCAGUGGCGCAGCUAACGCC